Molecule: ribosomal RNA, 577 nt
Filed under: uncultured bacterium
Lineage: Bacteria
Description: bacterial SSU rRNA
Rfam family: Bacterial small subunit ribosomal RNA
Source: RNAcentral
ANUCCCCNCCCGGNGUACGGCCGCAAGGUUAAAACUCAAUGGAUUNACGGGGCCCCCCAAGCGUGGAGCAUUUGGUUUAUUUCGAUGCAACGCGNAGAACCUUACCUACUCUUGACAUCCAGAGAACAUUCCAGAGAUGGAUUGGUGCCUCGGGAACUCUGAGACAGGUGCUGCAUGGCUGUCGUCAGCUCGUGUUGUGAAAUGUUGGGUUAAGUCCCGCAACGAGCGCAACCCUUAUCCUUUGUUGCCAGCGAUUUGGUCGGGAACUCAAAGGAGACUGCCGGUGAUAAACCGGAGGAAGGUGGGGAUGACGUCAAGUCAUCAUGGCCCUUACGAGUAGGGCUACACACGUGCUACAAUGGCGUAUACAGAGGGAAGCGAUAGUGCGAGCUGGAGCGAAUCUCACAAAGUACGUCUAAGUCCGGAUUGGAGUCUGCAACUCGACUCCAUGAAGUCGGAAUCGCUNGUNAUCGCAAAUCAGAAUGUUGCGGUGAAUACGUUCCCGGGCCUUGUACACACCGCCCGUCACACCAUGGGAGUGGGUUGUACCAGAAGUAGAUAGCUUANCCUUUUGGAG